This is a long non-coding RNA of Drosophila pseudoobscura, 3063 nucleotides long. RefSeq lists it as uncharacterized. The transcript is spliced from 3 exons. Lineage: Eukaryota; Metazoa; Arthropoda; Insecta; Diptera; Drosophilidae. The record is from RefSeq and is a predicted model, not a curated record.
CCUUUCCUUCCUACAUUGCUUUAACAGUCAUUCCCUUAUUAAAUUCUUUUUAGUUUCGUCGCUCCAUAAAUGGUUUCUCCACUUUUUAGCAAAAUUUUGCCGCAAGGCUAUAUUUUUGACGCGUAAUUGGGACCUUUCUUUCUAUUCUCCAUGGAAGGUUGGCUUGUUUUAGCCGUCUACGGGUCGUUGGAGCACUAACUUAUAGUCCAAUUUCUGCUGCAGUAGCCUUUGACGACUUAAAUGGGUCCUUUUUCCUAAAAAAAAAAGUAUGUAGUGAUAAAUUGUUAUGUUUUUUUCUGUGGCUUUCGGCGAAUUUCCUGGCAAGGUUUUAAUUUUUAGAACAUUUAAACAAAAUUAUGAGAUUUUUUCAUUAAUUUGGCAAUGGCCCGAAGAGAUUUGAAUUCUUUUUUCAGACUAAGAUCCAAUCGGGCUUCUUCCUCUGUACAAUAAGACUUUCGGCCCAUUCUUAUCCACUAGAAACAACCGUUUCUACGUUUGGGUACAAAUUGUUCAAUUGCUGCUUUCCGGACAAACAUCAAGUGAUCGACACGAUAUCACAUCACGUGUAUUCAGGCAAAAAACUGGGUCCCUGAUGAACGCUUCUUUGGAGAUACUGGAUCCAUUCACUCGAAUGGCAAAAACGAGGCUUGCCACAUGCACACAUUCUAAUUUGCCGAUCCCGACCUACCUGAUGUCGCAAUUACAAAUAUGAUUCAUUGACCGAGUGACGCCAUCUAUCCCCAAUAAUCUUGCAUGGUCGACUGCAAGUUUUCCAAACGAUAUCCACGGAAAUUAGCGGAGGAUAUCGUCACUGGAACCGACGGUUAUCCACUGUAUCAGCGUCGGUCACCCGACGAAAACAGUCGAACUAUCACAAAAAGUGAAAAUAAUGGAUUUCGUUGUCGACAACAGUUGGAUUGUUAAGUGAACUGUAAGAUGAUAAAUGUUGUGCAUCUGGAGAAUGGUAAACGAGUUUCACGGCAUGAAAUGUUGUUCAACGUGCUGAAAUACCUCUAGCGACAGCAUUGACCAGUUUCUUUGCACUCGGAGAUUCCACGCUAUUAUACUUGGAAUGUUUCAUCGAAGAAAUUUCAACGACGGAAGUAUGGCAAUGCAGGUCCUGGUUAUCCGGAUGUGCGUUCUACUGAUGCUCUUGGUCAUAUGUAUACAGUUCAUCCAAAGAAUGAUGAAUGCUUUGAUUUGCGGUUGCUGCUGGUUUAUGUGCGUGGCACUUGCGUACGCACUGUGAAUGGAACAAUAUUCCCAACAUAUCGUGCUGCAUGUGAAGAACUCAAUUUAUUAGAACACGAUACACAGAGGGAUACGACAAUCGAGGAAGCUAUUAUCUCUGCAUUUCCAAGUCAAAUAUGCACAUUAUUUGCUUUGUGGCACAUAUACAAAUAUAAUAUGUCAGAAGAUAAUUUACAUCAAAAUCGAGUAAGUUCCAGAAAUCCCGAUCUUGAAAUGAAUGAGAAGAUACAUAAUCAAGCUUUACUAUUGAUCGAAUACAUGUGUUAGCUCAUAUUCGGUAGUUUAUUAGUCAGGCUAGGAAUGACAGCGCCAAAUCAUGAAUUGAAUGGGAAUUGGAAUGGGAACGUGAAUAUGAUAACCAGGAAUUGAAUUUAGCUUUUCAAACAAAUGCACCCCUGUUGAAUCCUCGACAAAAGGAAGUUUAUGAUACAUUAAUGAAGGCAAUUGAUGAAGAAAAGGGUGGUUUACGUCUAGAACGGAACUACUGCUUUUCACUACUUAAGAGGUAAAAAGUCCCGGUACAGACUCUCCCAAAACUCUGUGGGUGAGCGCAAGCCUUUAGCAACAAUGCCAAGUAUCUUGGCUUAAUCCUCGAUAGAAAGCUCGAUUAGAAACUGAGCAUAGAGGAUAGAAUAAAAAGGCCACAGUGGUCCUUUAUACAUGCUGGAAAGCAAUCGGACUAAAAUGGGGAAUGUACGCCCAAUCAUGCUCUAUAGAGUGGUAGUAUGGUGGCCAGCCCUAGACAAAGGAACUUAUCUCAACAGACUCAAUAGAGUUCAACGCAUGGUAGAGCUAUGCACAACUAGCAGGCUACGCACUUCUCCAUGGGAAGCCCUGAAUUACGUGCUGGACCACCUCCCCGUAAAUGUCAUGGGAAAGAAGGUUUCAACACUUUCCGCCCUCAGAAUUAGAGAAGCCAAAUUAUGGAAGGCAUCCGCGUUUGGGCACUCGGGAAUCCUGACGAGACCCCCUUUCGACCUUUCAACGCCUUUUCAGGUAUCAAUCCCACUUAGAGAGGACUGGGAGAUGGGCGAACCAGGACCUGCAAAUGCCGUCCACUUUUACACUGACGGUUCAAAGCUAGACAGCCGCGUGGGUGGUGGAGUCUACUGUAAAAAGCUAAACAUCAGUUACUGCUUCAGGCUGCCAGACGAAUUUAAUGUGUUCCAAACGGAGGUUGAGGCAAUCAGAGAGGCCAUUUCUAUUGUCUCCAAACUCCAAAGCAAGCAGCUAUUAAAGCACUAGGCUCAAUAUCGUCAAACUCGACGAUUGUAAAUGACUUCCGUAGGCCUCUAAACGAGAUCGCAGAGCAGUUAGAUCUCUUCUUUAUAUGGGUCCCCCUACCUCCUGCAAGGUCUCCAGAUCGAUAUGGCCAUUUCAGCAGAGCUGUAUAGACUCGGCAGAGCACAGUGCUCUGCAGUUACUCGAGCCAUCACGGGACACUGGCAGAUGGGCACUCACGCCUCUAGACUGCCAAUCCCUCAUAAUGACUUCUACAGGAGUUGUCACGACGCGGAAGAGGCGGAAUCAGUCCCCCACUUUUUCUGCCAUUGCCCGGCCCCUGGAAAAAUUGGCUUAAAUAUAACCAAUCAAGCUGAAAUUUUAGAGGAUGGAUUAUAUUUUAAUAUUUUAGAUCCCAAACAAAAUUCAAUCCGAUCACAGCGACAGUAUAGCUGCCAUAGGAACCAUUGGUCAAAUAUCGUAUUUUUUAACUUUGACCUCAAGGUACCGAACCCCUAAGCAUUGUCAAAUCAGCCUGUAACUUUAUAAUUUAUUAUACAUACAUAUACUUUUUGAUUUGAGGAUUUAAAU